GAUGAACGCUGGCGGCGUGCCUAAUACAUGCAAGUCGAGCGAACGGACGAGAAGCUUGCUUCUCUGAUGUUAGCGGCGGACGGGUGAGUAACACGUGGAUAACCUACCUAUAAGACUGGGAUAACUUCGGGAAACCGGAGCUAAUACCGGAUAAUAUUUUGAACCGCAUGGUUCAAAAGUGAAAGACGGUCUUGCUGUCACUUAUAGAUGGUUCCGCGCUGCAUUAGCUAGUUGGUAAGGUAACGGCUUACCAAGGCAACGAUGCAUAGCCGACCUGAGAGGGUGAUCGGCCACACUGGAACUGAGACACGGUCCAGACUCCUACGGGAGGCAGCAGUAGGGAAUCUUCCGCAAUGGGCGGAAGCCUGACGGAGCAACGCCGCGUGAGUGAUGAAGGUCUUCGGAUCGUAAAACUCUGUUAUUAGGGAAGAACAUAUGUGUAAGUAACUGUGCACAUCUUGACGGUACCUAAUCAGAAAGCCACGGCUAACUACGUG
This 497-nucleotide ribosomal RNA is filed under the name uncultured bacterium. RNAcentral's name for it is "partial 16S ribosomal RNA". It matches the Rfam family "Bacterial small subunit ribosomal RNA", at positions 28 to 507 of the family's 1533-position model. The record is from RNAcentral.